This 1792-nucleotide unclassified non-coding RNA is filed under the name Rhagoletis pomonella (apple maggot). RNAcentral describes it as "zinc finger protein GIS2-like, transcript variant X2". The record is from RNAcentral. Lineage: Eukaryota; Metazoa; Arthropoda; Insecta; Diptera; Tephritidae.
GGAUUCGAACCGACGAUCCCACUGACUCAGCCAGUUGCCUACGCACUGUGCUGAGUUCGCCUUUGUAAAAGCAAUUAAUACCUUUGAAAUAUUUUAUGUAUGAAUACAACCCUGUGUAAGUUGGACAUGACGAAGAAGGGAAAAAACCGCAGCUAACUUUAAGGAGAAUCCUGUUUAAAAGAGAAAAGAAAGGAAUAAAGUUGGUUUUUGGUAAUCAAAAAUUUAGAGCGUAAUUUAUUUGAGCCAUCCUAUUGUUUUCAACCGCAGAAGUGGGAUUGUAAACCCGAAUAAACAUUAAGUUGAUGAAUUUUUAAACUAUAUAGUCCAGUUGAAAUACUAUGGCCGAAAAUCUUGGUAAUAAAGAGGACCUCGUGGAAACGUUGACUAAAGCGGGAGUGAAAUUCCCCGAAUCGACAACUAUUUCCCAACUACGUGCACUUUGCGCUCGAGUGGUCGGCGCCCAGAAUGAUCCUGGGUUGGUUUCUUGUGGAAAAAACACUGAUGCAAAUUUUUCUACUGCUGAUGCAAACUUUUCGACUACAUGCGCUUUUGUUCCUACGAUGACUUCUGCAAAGGAUGUAACUUCGGUCACUUAUGUUGAAGAAUCUUCUGUUCCAUCAAUAAUUUCCGUAAUCAAUCAAACUUCCGAUGAUAAUUAUGAAGAAACUGCUGUUCCAAUGAGGGAUGAAACUCCUUCGGUAAUUUGUGCUUCGGUGGGAAACUCUCCGAUAGUCCCAAGCACGGGAAUCAAUACAACUGCUGUUACGUUUGCGUCAUCUAUUGCUCCAAUUUCUUAUGUAUCGGAAAACAAGGCCAGUAGUGUUGCAGGAAAUACGUCGAAUAUGGUUCCCUUGGAUGCUAAGAUUGUUCGCUUAAGAAAACAACGUGAAAUUUUGCUUUUGAAGCAAGAGAUUCAGCAAUUGCAGGGAAGCGCUCAACAAAAUACGCCAUUGGAUGUCGUAUCAAUUGAUGCUAUGGCAACGAAGUGGACGGGUGACGAUGCACAUGAUAUUAAAAAAUGGUUUACCGAUCUGGAAGAGAUUUUCGAAAUGUUGCAGAUAAAUAAACGUUAUAAGUUUUUAUGUGUUCGCCGCCUUUUGGAUGGAUCAGCUAAACUGUUUGCUAGAACGGUAUCCGCUGCUGAUUAUGACGGUCUCAAGGAAGCCCUAAUAUAGCAAUUCGGGCAUUCGAAUUCCUUGUGGGAAGUAUAUGAGGAGUUAAAAAAUCGUAAACCGAAAAGCAAUGAAAGCAUUUAAAGGUACUUGUUGGAAAUGCAACUGAUUUGGUGGAUGCAGUUUUUGUUAACAUUGGCGAUAGAUCUGGUUUGGCUACCGUGUUAUACCAGGCAAAGACGGUUCGUGAAUUGAAGCUUCAGUUGGAGAGGUAUGAGAAGUUGCGUCCGAUACUGAGACAGUUAAGCCAAACAAAUCGCGCGUUGGUUUAAUGACUACUACGGAUGGAGCUACGGCAGCUCCAGUUAAUGAUACAAUUCGCUGCUACAACUGUUCGCAAUUUGGACACUAUCAGACACAGUGCCCGAAACCAAAACGUCCUGUGGGUUCCUGUUUUAAGUGUGGAACGAUGGGCCACUUGCAUCAAGCUUGUCCAAAACGAGGAUUGGUUGCUGCCGUUGAAGAUCCCCCGAAGGGGUCGGUCCGAAUGAUGUACAUAGGAGAUGAGGAGGGUAUGGUCGAAGCAAUUCAUGAGCUGCAAAUGUCCGAGGAGUUUCAUUAAGAAGUCAUGUGUUCCAUAUUUGAUGAGUGGACGUUUGAAAUUAUCAAACUAUGUUGGG